RNAcentral lists this ribosomal RNA (200 nucleotides) under uncultured bacterium. Its description in RNAcentral is "partial 16S ribosomal RNA". It matches the Rfam family "Bacterial small subunit ribosomal RNA", at positions 29 to 224 of the family's 1533-position model. The record is from RNAcentral.
AGUGAACGCUGGCGGCAGGCCUAACACAUGCAAGUCGAGCGGCAGCGCAGCAGUAGCAAUACUGUGGGCGGCGAGCGGCGGACGGGUGAGGAAUACAUCGGAAUCUACCUUGUUGUGGGGGAUAACGUAGGGAAACUUACGCUAAUACCGCAUAAGACCUGAGGGUGAAAGCGGGGGACCGCAAGGCCUCGCGCGACAAG